Molecule: ribosomal RNA, 406 nt
Filed under: uncultured bacterium
Lineage: Bacteria
Description: bacterial SSU rRNA
Rfam family: Bacterial small subunit ribosomal RNA
Source: RNAcentral
GACGAACGCUGGCGGCGUGCCUAACACAUGCAAGUCGAACGGGACUUAGUGGAAAGCGGCUUCGGCCAAUGGAAGCUAAGUUUAGUGGCGAACGGGUGAGUAACGCGUAAGAAACCUGCCUUUCAGUGGGGGACAACAGUUGGGAACGACUGCUAAUACCGCAUAAUGUAUUCGGGGGGCAUCCUCUGGAUACCAAAGCUCUAUGUGCUGAAAGAUGGUCUUGCGUCUGAUUAGCUAGAUGGCGGGGUAACGGCCCACCAUGGCGACGAUCAGUAGCCGGUCUGAGAGGAUGAACGGCCACAUUGGGACUGAGAUACGGCCCAGACUCCUACGGGAGGCAGCAGUGGGGAAUAUUGGGCAAUGGGGGAAACCCUGACCCAGCAACGCCGCGUGAAGGAAGAAGGCC